GGAAGGUCUGGAAUGGAAUGGAAUGGAAUGGAAUGGAAUGGAAUGGAAUGGAGUGGGACAAAGCAAAGUGAGAUGUGAGGAGACAGGGCAUCUCGCAGUGGGGCUGGCUAAUCUGAACCAGAGAUAGGAGAGACCCCAGAGCAAUAACUGCGUGGGGACGGCUCCGAUAACGCGGCAGCAGUGGGGCCGGAGAGUUCCCAGUGCUCCCAGAGGCCAGCGACGUUCAGGAGGGUUCCUGGAGAGGAGCACAACCUGCAGAAUGCAUGGAAGCAUCGAUACGGGAACGGCACUGCCUGAAAACACGUGCCCAGUCCUGAGCUGGAACGGAGCUCCUGGGGACCCCAUCAUGGGGACAUCAGUGGGGCAGGACGUGGGGCUCAGCCCCAUGCAGCAGUGCUCAGGGUUCUCCCCACGCGGCCCCGUGCUGCCACGCCAGCUGCGCCGGAGCGGUGGGUUCCUGUUGCCAAGAUAUGGAUUUGGUUUUAAUAACAGUUAGUGCAAACAUUGUAAAUUUACUGCUGCUAGAGAGAGUUUUUGAAAACGUCCAACUCUGGCUAUAAUUUUUCAAUCGCAGCAGCUGUUUGUGCUCUGCUCAUACCUGACACGCUGCUUUGAAAUAGCAAUCACUGUAUUUAUAAGAAGGGAAGGACUCAUAAAUAUGUCAGGAGUGGAAUAUACAACGCCAUAUUUCACCAUUUUCUAUUUUAAAAUUGUGAGUUAUGGCUACAGAAAUGUGGUCCCAUUAAAGGUGAUAUGAUGUAUUUUGUGUCUUG
This is a long non-coding RNA of Centrocercus urophasianus (Greater sage-grouse), 773 nucleotides long. RefSeq lists it as uncharacterized. The record is from RefSeq and is a predicted model, not a curated record. The transcript is spliced from 3 exons. NCBI's taxonomy places the organism in Eukaryota, Metazoa, Chordata, Aves, Galliformes, Phasianidae.